Long non-coding RNA from Hemicordylus capensis (graceful crag lizard), 3898 nucleotides. RefSeq lists it as uncharacterized. The record is from RefSeq and is a predicted model, not a curated record. The transcript is spliced from 3 exons. Lineage: Eukaryota; Metazoa; Chordata; Lepidosauria; Squamata; Cordylidae.
ACAAAAUGAUGAAUGCCAAAUGAAUUGAUUUUAUUGAAAAUGUCACCAGAAAUCAUGUGUGGGGGGCUUGGUUUACAUGGAGAAAAUGAUUGGGUGAUUUUUUGAAAUGAAACGAAUGAAUUAUUAUCAUCUUAUGUUCAUCUUGAUUGUGGUCACUGUUGAUGUUGGCUGAUGGCAAAAAACCCAAAACCAUCAGAAUAGCAAUGAACUGGCUGCCAACACAACAUAUUGAUUGAUAACUGUGCAGGGGGGGAAUCGGGUCUGUGUGUGUGUGUGUGGUGCAGGCUCAGUCUGUCUCUUCCUGUUGUGUGUCUGUCUGUCUGUCUGUCUGUGUGAAUGGAUGCCUAGCACUGUCUCUGUGUGUGGAUGCUUUCUGUGUGUAGUGUGGUGUGUGUCUGUCUACAUGUUUUUUUUCCUCCCCCCCAUGCCUCCCUCCAUCCUUCCCCUCUCAUCCUCUCCCCUUCCUCUUCACCACCUUCCAUCCUCCCUCCCUUCCAGCCCACCACCGCCUCACCUGCCCCCAACCCCGGUCUGGCAGAUGAUGAGAGUCUGGUCUCUCCCACCGAAGCACACACGUGAGCACGUGUGUGCACAAAUAUGUGGCUGACCAACUCUGAGCCGGACCCUCCCCCCUUCAAUCCCCUCUACAUCCCUCUCCCCCUCCCCUUUCCUCCCCCCUGCCUCCCUCCCUGCCUCCCUCCCCCCUCCUAGCUAGCAGCGCACACAUACACACACAAAACACCUGUGGUGGCAAACACCACCAGCACACAUGCACUCACACUGGUGCCACCACCACCUCUGCCUUGGGCCUCUGUGUCCUUGAGCAGAUAUGUGGUGGUGGACCAGAGAAGCAUUUCUUUCCAGCAAGGCAAAAGGCAUGCACUCACUGCACACACACACACACACACACACACACACACACACACGAAGAGGUGAAGACGAGAAGAGGCAACUUCUAGGACCAGCAGCAGCAGAUAGGAAUGGCUGAAGAAUGGAAUGGAUCAGAUCAAUUUGCAAAACUCUUUGCUUGUUUUAGAAACCUUGAAUCAAAAGUGGUUCAACAUCAGAAGCUGGGACGUACUUUUUCUUUAUCUGUCCUGGACUCUGUUGUUCACUGGUUGCCCACUGCAGCAUGGCUCAGAUGCUGCCACCACCUUUUUUCUUGUCCACCCCAAGAGAGCCUACUCUUCCCUGGAAACGAUGGAGGUCUUAUUUCUGCAAUUACCCCAUCAUCAUACAGACCCUUGAUUUUACUCCAGCAAAGCUAAAAGCAAAAUUGCUUCACUGCCUGAGUCCUAAAGGCCAGAUAAUAUAUAAUCAUUUGCUCUUUCCUGCCAAAUUGGAAGGGGAUGCCAAUUCUUAUGAAGCUGCUCUUCAAGGCUUAGAUUAUAAUUUCAACCCCACUUUGAAUGUGAUUGCUGAAUGUUACAAGUUGCAACUGCCUGGUGAAUCUGUUGAUCAGUAUAUCACAGCAUUGCAUACCUUAAGUGUAACCUGUGAGUUUGCCAACUUUACUGAUGAAAUGAUAGGGAUCAGAUUGUUGUGAAAACAAACUACUCCAAACUAUGUGAAAAACUGCUAUUGGAGCAGAAACUUACCUUGGAUAAAGUUAUAGAGAUGGCUAGAAGGGUAGAAAAUGCUCUUCACUGUGCCAAAUCACUGUCUUUGGUACCCACAAACCAACCAACGGAAAUCCAGGCUGUUCAGUCUAAAUCCUUCCAAACGCAAUCUUCUCAUAUGGCCCAGGAAGUGGCAGCACAAGAAAGGAGGAGCUAAAAAUGCUACUUUUGUGGAGACUCUAUCCACAAAGCCAGUUUUGUUAACUGCCCUGCACACUAUUGUAACCACUGGUGCUUCUGAAAAUGGUUUAGGUGCUGUGUGGACCCAGCAAAAGGGACAGGGAAGUUACAGUUGUCUUUGCUUCCAGGGUGCUUACUACUUCAGAGAAGAUGUAUUAUUUCAUUGAAAAAGAAGCUCUAGCAUGUUUCUGGGUGGUGAAGAACUUCAGCACUUACUUGUGGUGCAGAAAAUGUGCCUCACAGUCAGAUCAUAAACCCCUAUCUGCUUUAUUUACUACUCCAGGAUCAAGUUAAGGAACCCAAAGAACAGCCAAAUGCAUCCCCAGACUUAUGGAUUUUGAUUUCCAGGUGGAAUAUCUUCCAGAUCUUUGGAAUACAACUGUAUAUUGUUUAUGUUGACUUCUACUUCCAGGCCAAGAGGUUUGAUUUUGUAGUUUUCUCAGCACUGAGUGUAAUAUGCUGUGCUAUUGCUUCUGUAACUAUCUGGUUGUGCUGGAUCUCAGACUAACAAAGGCAGAGAUCCCAAAAGACAAGGAUGAAUGAGUAGUAAUUGUGCAAAUAACUUCAUCCAGUCAUGGAGUGAUCAUGUCUUCUGAAUAGAAAGCAGCCCUCAGUGAGCACUGAUCAAGUGUUUACUGAACUUAAAUCUUACAUAACUAAUUGAUGCCCACGCAAAAACAAGGUACUGUAUCUGAACAAUCUUCAACCAUACGUGCAUGUAUCGAGUAAGCUGUCUCUUUUCAAUGAGCUGGUGCUGCAGACGGAUUGUUUCUUGGCGCCAACCUCCGUACUAGCAACAGUGAUCAAAAUUGCCCACGAAAGUCACGUGGACAUGAGCUUGACUAAAAUGUGAACCAGAGAAAGUUUUUGGUGGCCAGGUAUGAACAAACACAUUGAAAAUGUGAUCAGGCACUCUAUGACUUCAGCUAUAUCUGACAAAUCAUAGAAGACUUUUACCACCUCCUUGACUCCAGUAGAGUGUCUCAAUGGUCCCUGGGGAAAACUUGCUCUGGAUAUAAUGGGGCCUUUUGAUAACCAACCCGCAAACAAAAAAAUUGUUAUAGUGAUGGCGGAUUACUAUUUCAGGUGACCAGAAGUUUCAUUUGCUGACAACAUUACUACAAACAAGGUGAUCCAGUUCAUGGCAGCAGUUUUUGAGAGGCAAGGUCUUCCGAAAGAGCUGGUAACUGACAAUGGGACACAGCUUGCCUCAUCUGAAAUGGAGCAAUUUUUGCAUAACCAUGGGAUAAAACACAAGACUAUUUCCUUGUACCAUCCUCAAGGGAAUGGCUUAGUGGAAAUAAUGAACAGAUUAGUGAAAUAAAGUUUACAACUGACUACUACACAACAACAAUCCUGGAAAGAGGCAAUCUGUGGCAACAGUUGAUAGAACUUCCAUGCCAUCUCACUCGGGAUGCAGAGAUUCAUGAUCAGGUAAUGGAGAAGCAACAAAAAUACAAAUUGUAUGUGGAUCAGAUGGGGUGUGAAACAACAAACAUUUCAAGUGGGGCACUUUGUUCAAGUAUGGCUGCCUUAUAAAGUGAGAAAGGGAUAUUCCUGAUAUUCUGGACCAAAACAAAUAAUCAAAGUCUGAGGAGAUUUCGUCCUAUUGGAUGCUGGAAAGAAAUGGAACAGUUUGCGACUUUCCAGCAUGCAUAUUAUGAGACCAGAGGGAAGGGAGUCUGGUCUCGAGAGAGGAAUUGGAGAGGACUUUGAGGAUUUUACCUACAGGUUUGACCUCACAGAGGAGACUGAUGAAAGUGAUGGACAAUCCUCUGUACCAGAAAAAAAUCCUCUGUACCACUCACUAACAGCUCCUGUGCCAGAGAACCCAAGACUUAGGAGAAGUGCGCAUAACAGGAGACCACCUAAAAGGCUUCAGGACUUUGUAACUAGAUUUUAAAUUAAUUCAAUUCUGGUUAUUAUAAAGGGGAGGGCUGUGUUGUAUUCUCUCUAGUAAUCCUUUAUGUUCUGUUGUUGAGAAGUUUGUCCCAGUGGGGAUCCUGUAGAGAGUUUCGGGGGUGGAGUCAUAAGGAAAAGGGAGGGGAAGGAGAAUGAGAAAAUAGAGUUGUUUCUGAAUAAACUUUUAGUUAAAUCUA